UGAGCCACCAAGGUGCCCCACUGUCUCAUGUUUUAUCAUUAAAAGGGGAUAACGUGGAAGGAGACACAAAAUAAAUAUUUAGAAAAUACGGAGGAUACUUAGAUGCAGGAUGUCUAGUAAAGGUUGAGCUCAGGCUUGGCCUCUAGGCAGAGAAACCUUAAAUACCCCUACCAUAAACAACAAACCCCCGAAAGAACAUGGCCUACAUGAUUCCACUACAUUUCCAACCCAUAUACCUCUAUCUUUGUUGUUGUUUUUCACUUGAAAGGCCAACGGCAGUGAAACCAUUCUAUGAAGGAAGCAGGGAAUGGAAGAAAGAAAAAUAUAUGGAGUAGAGACUCCCGUGAAUUUUCCCAAAACCAUGUUCCUUUCCCUGCUGGGCAGAGACUGCAUUUCCCAGGCUCUCUCUUGUAGGCAGCUCAUGGUGAAAUGGAGAGAGUUCUUCCUAGGGCAUGGAGGAGGGAGGAACCACAAGAUGGAAAUAGCCUGGGCCCUUGACUAACCGCAUGGAAAGAAGUCUGCAAGGCCGGGGACACCUGCACAGACUUUGACACUCAGAAUCUGAAGUCAGUCUGGCCCUGCUUGGAAGCCUCCACUUGGCAUUGCUUGCUCCUCAGCUGAAUGUAUGUCCUGUCCAUUCUCCAGCCUAGAGGGGUCAGGACGACUCUCGCAAACCUCCACAGGUGGUGAUGGUCUUUUGGGGACCAGGAGUGACCCAUUCUGGCUCUGGAUGUUUAUGAGAUCAGCAUUUUUAACUGAACAAAGCAUGGAUGGAGCAAAGGUUGCAUCUUAAGUCUGAGACCACCACAAAAUAGAAGGCAGGGAUGCCACAGUCAACAUCAGGCAGGACCCAGCUGUUUGGACUGAAAUGACACAGCUGAUGUCAAUUUCCUGGGAUAUCAAAGUGCUUUAGAUGAAAAUCACCAUGGCAGGCUAGCACCGCAUCCAAGCCAGACCAGAAGCGCGAGCUGACUGAGUUCAUCACGCCGUGCGGCCCUGACUGGUGUCCUUUCUUGAGGCAUCAGUAAGAUCCAGGCUGACCUCCCCCAACCCCACGGCCACACAGCCUGCCCUUAUCCCCAGGCCUUGGCCUUCCAAGGUUGGGCUGUUGUGUGAUUUUGCUCAUGACAGUUCCCUCACCUCCUGGAAGAGUGGGUGUCACAUUAGGGCAGAACGGGGCCCAUCUGUACAUCCGGUGACAGAAGUUCUUCAGAGCUUCUAGUACUGAUAGUUUCAUGUUCCAGUGAUCACUCACUUCAAUAUAACAGUAGCUCGCCACCCUUACCAAAAAAGUUCAAAAGUUUCUUAAAAAGUUUCUCCUGGGGGCUAUUUAAAAAAUGAGCGCAUUGUCCGUUCUCCUUAUGGGAAUCCCCAGCAAAGUGGCGGCAAGAACUGUCGCAUGCUCAAAGAGUAGACUGGUUUCCCCUGCUGGAUGCCCGAGCUUUACCUGGCCAGUAUCCCUCAGAGCAGCAUCCCCAUCCUUCUCUUCAAGGUCUGCCAGAUUCCCAGUGAGAAAAACUCCGUGCCAAUGUUCCUGCCCCUUCUGUAAUCUAAAGUCUUGGCCUCAUAAAAAGUUGGGAAUUCCUGGUUUAAACCCCACAGGCUAAGUAUAAACCAACCAUGUUUGCACUUUGUUCUUAAAAGAAGAAACACUCGAUGAUUCCAGAAACACCAAGGUCAUUUUCUCAAUAGUUUCUCCAAGCCAUACUGGUUCUGGAACAAAGACUUCAACAAAACGUUUCUUUUCCAUCAAAAGUAAAAGAAUACGAGUAAGCCCUAAAGAUAUCUCUGCCUGUUUGUUUGAAUUCUGUCCUUGGGAGCCAUACUGAGUAAGUAUCCCUCCUCUAAACAACAGGUCUUUCAUUUAUCAACAUUUAGCCACCAAAUCUGAGUCUUUGUGGUGCUCAACUCCCUGUGACGGCCAGCCUCCCAGAUGGCUGCUGGGAUCCCCAACUCCUGGUAUUCAUGGCCUUGUGAUGUCCCCUCCCACACUGUCUCGGGGUGUGUGACUUCAGAGGUUAGGUCACAAAAGGUACUGUAACUUCUUCCUCGCACAUGCUCACUCGUCUUCUCUCUCCUGGCUUGCUCUGGGGGAAGCUGGUUGCCAGGUCAUCAGGACGCUCAAAGAAGGUCCCUGUGGCAAGAAAAUGAGGCCUCCUGCCAAAAGUUAUGUGGAUGAGCUAUUAUCUGGCUUUCAGUCAAGCUUCCAGAUGACAGCGAAGCCCCAGUGUUAGGAAAGACCCUGAAUCAGAACCUCCAGCUAAGCUGCUUCUGAAUUCCUGAUUCUCAGAACCUGUGUGUGAUACAGGUUUAUUGAUACAGGCUGCUAAAUUUUGGAGUAAUUUGUUAUACAGCAAUAGAUAAAUGUACACUCUAUGUUCCUAUAGCUUCUCUUCAGGUGAAAAAAUCUGUAAACACUUUACCUCAGAAUGGAUUCUGACUUUUAGUACCCAUCUUAAAAUAGUCUACUACAGAGUAAUCAUGACGAUAAUAACACCAAUAACAAAAAUAUUUACCAAAUGCUUUAGGGGUUGGCCUCUGUGCUAAGAGUUUUACAUGGACCAUUUAGAUUCAUUCUUAGAAGAACUCUGUGACUUCAUAGUCCUAUUAUUCUACCCAUUUUAUAGGUGGGGAAUACAGGUAUAGAGAAGUGUAGGGCCUUGUCCAAAGGCAUGAAGCUCCAAGACGCUGAGAGGAAAUCUAAAAACAGGCAGAGUGACCCCAGAGCCCAUGCUCUACAGCUCUGGGCUAUGGGGAACAGAGUACAGUAGGAAUACCAUAUCCCAUGACCUCCUUUCUAUACUACCAUAACUUAAUUCUCCAUCAAUUUUGCCAGCAGCCCUGGAAUGCUAUCAGGUUAUAUAAACUUGUGGUCAACUAAGGCCUCUAGCUUUUUUCCACAGAAUCUGCUGUCAAACUUGGCCUCCUAUCCCUAAUUACUCUUUUUACCCCCAAUUAAAUCAUUCUCAACCUAA
Enhydra lutris kenyoni (northern sea otter) is the source of this 2975-nucleotide long non-coding RNA. RefSeq lists it as uncharacterized. The transcript has 4 exons. NCBI's taxonomy places the organism in Eukaryota, Metazoa, Chordata, Mammalia, Carnivora, Mustelidae. The record is from RefSeq and is a predicted model, not a curated record.